UUUUUCUUUAGUCUUCUAGCUUUCUAAUCAUGUAUCCAUCUCCCAUCUAUCGAUAUUGGUUAACAACAGAAACCUUAAAUAGGAUCCUGGCUUCAAAAUCUUUUUGAUUCAGAAGUCAAAAUUUAAGGAAUAAAGUCUGAUAUCCAGCUCAAACCAAUGAAAAGAAUCAACAAUGAAAAGAAUAAACAAUGAUGCCUUGUCUUAACCUAUCCAAUUCUGGAAUUGUCUCUGCCAAAAACCAGGGUG
RNAcentral lists this unclassified non-coding RNA (246 nucleotides) under Hevea brasiliensis (rubber tree). The record is from RNAcentral. Lineage: Eukaryota; Viridiplantae; Streptophyta; Magnoliopsida; Malpighiales; Euphorbiaceae.